This is a long non-coding RNA of Leptinotarsa decemlineata (Colorado potato beetle), 932 nucleotides long. NCBI's taxonomy places the organism in Eukaryota, Metazoa, Arthropoda, Insecta, Coleoptera, Chrysomelidae. The record is from RefSeq and is a predicted model, not a curated record.
AUAAAUUCCGCCAGCCGAUUGCAGUUGAAUCUGAUUAGCCAGCGUGAGGAGGCUUGUUUAUUUUACCCAAUAGAUGCAGAUGUGCUUGGUGAUCAUGCUUUAAUCACGCAUCUAUCUUUGUUUGGGAUAGUUCUUUGUUGGCUGGAUAUAUUUUAGGCACGGAUUAGACGCUGUGUGGAAGAAAAGAAUCGGAUUUCCUCCGUGUUAUUCAAAUAUAUAUUGAUAAAAAGAACUUAAUAUUAUGCAGUGAGUGACCACUAGACAAGAUAUCCAGUUGCCUAAUUGGGAUAAUGAUAAGUUGAAAAGUUGCACGUUUCUAAGGAAUGAAAGAUUACAAACCCCAGAUAAAUUGCAAGUGUUUGUUCAUGUUGGUAACGAAAACUUUUUUGUAUGUCUGCAUGUAUGUAUGUACGUACAUACAGACAUACACAUAAUGCGUAUGUGUGCUAUAUGUUACGUGUACUCGUAGGUUUUCGUGUUGUUCUCUUUUGGUUUUUGCAGUCAUAUCCAGUGGUCAGUGGCAUAUAUAUUGAAUGUGGACUCAACAGGAGCCUAACAAAAACAUAUCAUGUCACCAAAAACAUCAGAUGGCCUAUCGAAAAUGUACCGCAAGGCAUCACAGAGUGGAAAAGAACUUGUAGGUGAAAUCCAAAAACACGUUUGUUUCGGAAAGGAACAACUUUUGCUCGUAAGAGCGAAAUUUUAAAUCAGAGAGGAUGCCAUUCUCCAAAUUUUCGACACUCCUAUGCUUUCUACUUCAAAAGUUGUUCCCUUCAGAAAAAUACGGCGUGUUUUGGAUUUUGCUGAUAAGAUUUUUUUCCACCCUGUAAAGUUUGGAGGAAAGUUUUCGAUGGAUGACCCUGUAUAUACAUACAGCUGAAUUGAACUUUUUAUCUUUUCAACUUCAGUAAAUUAUUUUGAUGAUAAAGACC